This is a long non-coding RNA of Salvia splendens (bonfire salvia), 369 nucleotides long. RefSeq lists it as uncharacterized. The transcript is spliced from 2 exons. The record is from RefSeq and is a predicted model, not a curated record. Lineage: Eukaryota; Viridiplantae; Streptophyta; Magnoliopsida; Lamiales; Lamiaceae.
UGAAGAUCAAAGAUGUCACCUUUCAUUAGAUUGCUUGAUACCUUCAUCCCAGAUUCUCUAACUCUAUCAUUAAGGUCCGUUGUGUCCUGGUUUUUGAGUCAAAUCCUGCAGACAAAUCUGGUAACAGUUACUACGAUGUCUCGAGCAAGCUUUGUUACACCUAAUUUGACAUCAAUUACCAAUGAUACUCAUGCUGAAUGGAUAGUUGAAGGAACCGUCAAAAGGUGUUAAAGAGUUUGAUUCACGUGAUGAUGUCAAUAUGUUCAGUCUAACAAGAAGAAAGAGAUUGUGGAUAACCAAUGUGAUAUUUAUUUUGUGUUUCAGUCAAUGUUUUUAUUUCUAUUUAUUGUUAGCUUUCUAUUUUGUACU